This 1732-nucleotide long non-coding RNA is filed under the name Coturnix japonica (Japanese quail). Its description in RNAcentral is "lncRNA (ENSCJPG00005003280.1)". The record is from RNAcentral. Lineage: Eukaryota; Metazoa; Chordata; Aves; Galliformes; Phasianidae.
GUGUGUGCCAGGGCUCCUUGCCCCCCGAACUGUGCUCUGUGCCGCCCCAGUCCUCCCCGGUAUUUGAACCGAGGAGGAGGCUGAACAAAUAUGGAAAACAUUCGGAGAGGCCGUCAGGGCUUGGAAAUGCCACAUAUAGCCUGGAGAAGAGGGGGAUUCAAGGGGGGUAGCCAACUGCCAACGCGCCGGCGCUGCAGAGGAUGGUAACAGAAGAUUAUGGACUCAAUGUCUGCCCAUCUCUCCCCCAAAGCAGUCGCCUACACUUGUCCCACUCUCCACCUUUCCUCAGGCUGGGUUUUCCUCCAAAUAGCAAUAACAGCACAGUCUGGUGUACUCAGACCGGAGAUCCUCUAUGUGAAAGGUUUUCUGAGGACAUCAUAGGUCUUCCAGAAUGACUGCGUGUGCUCCACCAGAUGCUGAAGAAUAUUCCCUCCCAUCCAAAGUGACUCUGAGCCUCAUAUUUCCUUGGCUUAGCAUUGUUAUGAAAUGUCAGGGCUUCACAACUAUUUUGACUCUCUUUUGCAAUGUGCCCAAGGGAACUCAACCUCUGUUAAAGCACUGAUUCUGUCCAGCAGGCCCUACAGACUUGCAUCACUUCUCAUUCUGGAAGAAACUCAGCCAUCACUGCAGGGUAGCUGAGACAUAGAAAUGUGAGGGCUGAAAGCAAGAUGUGCUGUUUCUGGAGGGCAGUUGCUAGUGGAACUAUAUGAGGCCAACUUGGGGACUCUUCUCAGUCAGUAUUUGUCUGUCACACAAAAGAGGGAGGGGUGCAUCAUGAAAUUUCCUGGUGGCACACAAAUGUGAGCACUUGUCAAUACACAAGAGGCUCCAGCCUAUCAAGCAGGAAGAACUGCCUGACCUUGAGGAUGGGAACAAUGAGAAUAGGACAAAACCCAGUUGUGCCAAAUGUAAGGUUUGGCACGAAAGGUUCAAGUGUUGGAAUUUCUCUGAGAAAAUAAGAUGUCGGUGACAGACUCAAGCACAUCGACUGAUCACAGAAUUAAUAUGAAACAGCGAAGUGACACAGCCGUGAAAAGGUACAUAUAAUACAGGCUGCACUGCAGACUUCCAUCAGAGCUUGAAAUGGAUUAAUGACAGGGAGCAAGUUCUGGUGGACCUUGUAAGGAGGCUAUGUACGGUUUUCUUCACCUCUGCUUGAGAAAGAUGAAUUGUGGAUGCAGUAAGCAUAACCAGCUGUUGGUGGGCUACUUGGUGGGGGGCUAGAGACCCUACUUAACAGUGGAAAAUUAGACAGGAUUGGUUCAUUCAACCUGACAAAAUUAGAGGUUAGAGAGGACACGCUAGGUCUAUAAAUACCUUGUGUUAAACUUAAAACAAUGUUGGCAGGAGGACAAAUGGAUACAAAUUGGCCAUGAGUGUGUUUAGCUUGGAAAUCAGAAGAUCUCUAACCAUUGGAGCAGCGAGGUUGGAGAGCAGCGUGAGACAUAAAACUUGCUUGGAGGCAGGGCAGUAUCAGUUGUUGAAUUACACCAUUUGACAUGGCUGCCCGAGAUGAUCCACUGAUCCAGGAAGGGCCUUCCCUUCCAAAUUCUGGUUGCAGGCAGGCUUUCUGCUCCUGAUCGCUCAUGCGGAAGCCCUAAAUCAGCCACAUGAGCACGCAAGGCUCUCAGUCCCCUGCAAAGCUCUUGUAAGGUCUUGGCUUAAUCUAACUCGUUAUUUGUUAGUGGCAAUUAUUUAGAUUUCAUGCAUUUCUUACAGAAUAAACUGGAGG